This 318-nucleotide ribosomal RNA is filed under the name uncultured bacterium. RNAcentral's name for it is "bacterial SSU rRNA". It matches the Rfam family "Bacterial small subunit ribosomal RNA", at positions 29 to 325 of the family's 1533-position model. The record is from RNAcentral.
AGCGAACGCUGGCGGCGUGCUUAACACAUGCAAGUCGAGCGAAGGUGUUUCAAGGGUAACCUUGAGAUACACUUAGCGGCGGACGGGUGAGUAAUACGUGGAUAACUUACCUCUAGGCCUGGGAUAACCCCGGGAACUGGGGCUAAUACCUGAUAAGACCACAUUGUCUACGGACAAAGGGGUAAAAGGUGGCUGUGCAAACAGCUAUCGCCAAAAGAUAGGUUCACGUCCCAUCAGGCAGUGGUGAGGUAAUGGCUCACCAAACCAAAGACGGGUAGCCGGCCUUGGCGGGUGGAACGGCCACGCGGGGACUGAGAC